AGUUUCUAGAAAUUAACUGCAAAAGUGUGAGAACAUAUAUAUGAAGAAGCCUAAAUUUACUGUUACUUGACUUUCACAAUUUUAGAGUUGGAAGUUCCCAACUUCCCUCAUUCCUUCUCUGCCAAUAAACCUGCUGCCAGCUGUGAGAGAGAGUGGCUGAAGCCAAGGUUAGCAGGUGGGGUCAGCAGAGCUGAACAGACUCUGAGCUUUCGGCUUAGCUGCCUGGUAGAGCCACAGAAAGACAGACCUGAAGCCCACGCCAGCUGUGGGUCCCAGCACUCAUAGAGUGACUGGCUUUAGAAUAAAAAUGGGACAUGUGUCAAAUGAGUUCCAGCAGACAGAAUAACAAAACCCAGU
This 357-nucleotide long non-coding RNA is filed under the name Bos taurus (domestic cattle). RNAcentral's name for it is "long non-coding RNA NONBTAT008058". Lineage: Eukaryota; Metazoa; Chordata; Mammalia; Artiodactyla; Bovidae. The record is from RNAcentral.